UACGUAGGGUGCAAGCGUUGUCCGGAAUUAUUGGGCGUAAAGAGCUCGUAGGCGGUCUGUCGCAUCGGCUGUGAAAACUCGGGGCUCAACUCCGAGCUUGCAGUCGAUACGGGCAGGCUAGAGUUCGGCAGGGGAGACUGGAAUUCCUGGUGUAGCGGUGAAAUGCGCAGAUAUCAGGAGGAACACCGGUGGCGAAGGCGGGUCUCUGGGCCGAUACUGACGCUGAGGAGCGAAAGCGUGGGGAGCGAACAGG
RNAcentral lists this ribosomal RNA (253 nucleotides) under uncultured bacterium. RNAcentral describes it as "partial 16S ribosomal RNA". It matches the Rfam family "Bacterial small subunit ribosomal RNA", at positions 524 to 776 of the family's 1533-position model. The record is from RNAcentral.